AUUAUCAGCAUCUCAUUAAAUACACAAUCUGCAAAAUGGAGGGCACUGCCCUGCUCAGUGAAAAGGGCUGCUUUCCUUUUUGAGGGGACACAGCCUGGGAAGAAGAGAGAAAGAGGCUGGGCACACAGCGCCGUGGGAGAGCAGCCCCAGAAAGGUCUCCUCCCUGGUAAAACGGAGCCAGUAACAGCACCUGCCUCACAGGGUUACUGUGAGAACUGACGGAGACACAGCUUGAGAAGAACUGAGCGUGCUUUCCAGGCGACAGCGGACGCUGAGGACGGCUAGCUCUUGUGUAGAUGAAGGCACCCAGCAGCUGCUCAACCUGCAACGGCUCAGUUCUGAGAACCAUGGACACAGGUGGGGCCUUUAAAAUCAGUCACGUUAAUACGGUCACACUUUAAACAGGCCACCCUAGGUGGGAAAAUGUCUUUCCAUAGAUCCUGCUCUUGAAACUCACAUUUUAUAGAAACAUACCAUGAAGGUCAACAAUGCCAUCCUACAAACAUGCCGCAGACACACGCCUGCUGUCCUCACUGGCCUGCUGUCCUCACUGGCCACAGCUGUGGCUGGCUAUGGGGCUGCUCCUGAAUGCUGUGCCUGGCGUGCAAGUGCAGUGGGGAGGAGUGUUUGUUGGAAGAUGCUGAAUGGGCAAGAGGCAGAGCUCCCAGAAUCAGAAGGAACGAAACUCACGUGGAGAAGCCCUGCGGCAGUGCCCGAAGGCCUUACUCCACCUCACUGUGCAGCGAGAGAAAAGGGCUGCCUUCAGUGGGGUUUUAGAAAAACAGGCUGCUCUCAGGGCUCCUGGGCCUCGGAUGCACGACAAACAUCAAUUACAGUUGAACUUCUAGUUCGUGGUGGGACAGUCGUGUUUCCAUGAUGUGGGUGGGACUGACUAGGGUCAGGUGUGAAUGUAGGAUGCACCAUCCUGAGGGCCAUAAAAGUUGCUUCCACCACAAACGGUUUCUACGCAUAGCCUUUCUUCUUGAUAGUUAUUGCUGGUAAGAGGGAAAGUGACUUGGUCUCUACACUAGCCACCUACACAGACAGGCAGGCAGACAGAGACAGGAACAUGGAGCAUGCAGAGAGGAUCACCUGCUGGCCGCCAUGUGCCCGACAGGGAGGUGGAGUAGGGGGAGGAGACAGGGUGAUCACUUUUUUGGGGCAGGUCCGAGAACACUCCUUUUCCCGUUGCUUUUACACCAACAGACACAAACAGAGAGAACAUCAUUCAAACAGUGGCCAUGUGGAAGCUGGUUCUGGG
This 1261-nucleotide long non-coding RNA is filed under the name Homo sapiens (human). RNAcentral describes it as "long non-coding RNA NONHSAT083240.2". The record is from RNAcentral. Lineage: Eukaryota; Metazoa; Chordata; Mammalia; Primates; Hominidae.